AGGAAAUUAGUCCAAUUAAAGACCUCUGAUUUCGGCUCAGAAAACCACGGUUAAAACCCGUGAUUUACCUU
Molecule: transfer RNA, 71 nt
Filed under: Phractocephalus hemioliopterus (redtail catfish)
Lineage: Eukaryota; Metazoa; Chordata; Actinopteri; Siluriformes; Pimelodidae
Description: tRNA-Arg
Rfam family: tRNA
About the family: Transfer RNA (tRNA) molecules are approximately 80 nucleotides in length. Their secondary structure includes four short double-helical elements and three loops (D, anti-codon, and T loops). Further hydrogen bonds mediate the characteristic L-shaped molecular structure. tRNAs have two regions of fundamental functional importance: the anti-codon, which is responsible for specific mRNA codon recognition, and the 3' end, to which the tRNAs corresponding amino acid is attached (by aminoacyl-tRNA synthetases). tRNAs cope with the degeneracy of the genetic code in two manners: having more than one tRNA (with a specific anti-codon) for a particular amino acid; and 'wobble' base-pairing, i.e. permitting non-standard base-pairing at the 3rd anti-codon position.
Source: RNAcentral